Molecule: long non-coding RNA, 423 nt
Filed under: Rattus norvegicus (Norway rat)
Lineage: Eukaryota; Metazoa; Chordata; Mammalia; Rodentia; Muridae
Description: long non-coding RNA NONRATT017462
Source: RNAcentral
GCGGUUCGCUCUGGUUCGGAGGGCGGAAGUGCCCGCUGGGCUGUUUUCUGACCCCCGGCGGCGGCGCUCUGUGCGGCUGCGCGCGCACUGGGACUUCUGCUCCUGCGCCUCUGCAGGACGCUGUGAUCCCGGUAGACCCAACCCGACCGAGCGUCUUCCGCGCUGCGGGAAGCCGGAGCAGAGCCGGCACCUCGGGUAAAGUCAUUUCAGUUGCUUUUGCCAAGAGUCAGCUAUUUGACGCUGGUAACUGACAAAGUGAAAAAGCACUUUCAGAAGGUUAUGAGACAAGAAGAUGUUAGUGAGAUUUGGUUUGAAUAUGAAGGCACACCCCUGAAAUGACACUCCUUCCGUUUUAGGCAUUAUCCAAUUGGCCUACUGUUCGAUCUUCUUGCAUCAAGCUCAGCUCUGCCUUGGAACAUCACA